CGAAUCCUGCACGACCCACCAAUUUCAGUAUUUAACUCAGAUGCUGAACGUGAAGGAUAACGUUGCGACAGCAACGGCCCGAAGGGCGAGGCGAAGUCGAGUCAUCCUGCACGACCCACCA
Molecule: small RNA, 121 nt
Filed under: Klebsiella pneumoniae
Lineage: Bacteria; Pseudomonadati; Pseudomonadota; Gammaproteobacteria; Enterobacterales; Enterobacteriaceae
Description: partial RtT sRNA
Rfam family: RtT RNA
About the family: This family represents a bacterial cis-regulatory element known as RtT RNA. The exact function of RtT is unknown although it is thought that it may be involved in changing the cellular response in relation to amino acid starvation.
Source: RNAcentral